Long non-coding RNA from Chinchilla lanigera (long-tailed chinchilla), 573 nucleotides. RefSeq lists it as uncharacterized. NCBI's taxonomy places the organism in Eukaryota, Metazoa, Chordata, Mammalia, Rodentia, Chinchillidae. The transcript has 4 exons. The record is from RefSeq and is a predicted model, not a curated record.
CCCAGCCCCCGGCCAUUUGAUUCUUUUCCCGCCCCUUUCCCCAGAGCUCCAGGCUCAAGAGCAUAUGGUGCCCUUUUCACGUUAUUACAGGCGCUCGUUUACCAAAUACUUUGUCAUUGCACAGCGUGAUGCUCCAGGCAGGGCCCCCGGUGGCUCCUCCGUCCAAGAGUUACUCUUCGGAACAUCUUCCCUACUGUGAAGCGUGUUUUGCUCUUGGUGCCAUAAAUCCGUGGUGGCUGAAAUGCCUUCCGUGUGGCUAGGGAACCAAGUAUGCAAGUGGGACGGACAGCCUCCCGAGUGCUGGGAUUACAGGCAUGCACCACCAUGCCCAGCCAAAGUGGUCACCUUUUGGGCUGGAGGAAACACGGAAAAAUCUACAGCAAAUGAAGUAGGAAUUCUGGAUUUGGGUUCUGGUUGCCACUGGAGAUGGCUUGCAGCAAUUAGCAGGAACUAUGAAGCCUAUGAGGGCCCCUUCAGAACAAGAUGGCUGAAAGUCUGGAUCUAACAGUCUGCUGAAGCAAAGGGCCUCCCUGGGGUGAUAAGCCUGGAAUAAGAUUUCAUCUGAAGCCAUUA